UUUGACGGAGAGUUUGAUCCUGGCUCAGGACGAACGCUGGCGGCGUGCUUAACACAUGCAAGUCGAACGAUGAUGCCCAGCUUGCUGGGCGGAUUAGUGGCGAACGGGUGAGUAAUACGUGAGUAACCUGCCCUUGACUCUGGGAUAAGCCUGGGAAACUGGGUCUAAUACUGGAUACUACCGUCCACCGCAUGGUGGGUGGUGGAAAGGGUUUUACUGGUUUUGGAUGGGCUCACGGCCUAUCAGCUUGUUGGUGGGGUAAUGGCUCACCAAGGCGACGACGGGUAGCCGGCCUGAGAGGGUGACCGGCCACACUGGGACUGAGACACGGCCCAGACUCCUACGGGAGGCAGCAGUGGGGAAUAUUGCACAAUGGGCGGAAGCCUGAUGCAGCGACGCCGCGUGAGGGAUGACGGCCUUCGGGUUGUAAACCUCUUUCAGUAGGGAAGAAGCGAGAGUGACGGUACCUGCAGAAGAAGCGCCGGCUAACUACGUGCCAGCAGCCGCGGUAAUACGUAGGGCGCAAGCGUUGUCCGGAAUUAUUGGGCGUAAAGAGCUCGUAGGCGGUUUGUCGCGUCUGCUGUGAAAGCCCGGGGCUCAACCCCGGGUCUGCAGUGGGUACGGGCAGACUAGAGUGCAGUAGGGGAGACUGGAAUUCCUGGUGUAGCGGUGAAAUGCGCAGAUAUCAGGAGGAACACCGAUGGCGAAGGCAGGUCUCUGGGCUGUUACUGACGCUGAGGAGCGAAAGCAUGGGGAGCGAACAGGAUUAGAUACCCUGGUAGUCCAUGCCGUAAACGUUGGGCACUAGGUGUGGGGGACAUUCCACGUUUUCCGCGCCGUAGCUAACGCAUUAAGUGCCCCGCCUGGGGAGUACGGCCGCAAGGCUAAAACUCAAAGGAAUUGACGGGGGCCCGCACAAGCGGCGGAGCAUGCGGAUUAAUUCGAUGCAACGCGAAGAACCUUACCAAGGCUUGACAUUCACCGGACCGCCCCAGAGAUGGGGUUUCCCUUCGGGGCUGGUGGACAGGUGGUGCAUGGUUGUCGUCAGCUCGUGUCGUGAGAUGUUGGGUUAAGUCCCGCAACGAGCGCAACCCUCGUUCUAUGUUGCCAGCACGUGAUGGUGGGGACUCAUAGGAGACUGCCGGGGUCAACUCGGAGGAAGGUGGGGAUGACGUCAAAUCAUCAUGCCCCUUAUGUCUUGGGCUUCACGCAUGCUACAAUGGCCGGUACAAAGGGUUGCGAUACUGUGAGGUGGAGCUAAUCCCAAAAAGCCGGUCUCAGUUCGGAUUGAGGUCUGCAACUCGACCUCAUGAAGUCGGAGUCGCUAGUAAUCGCAGAUCAGCAACGCUGCGGUGAAUACGUUCCCGGGCCUUGUACACACCGCCCGUCAAGUCACGAAAGUUGGUAACACCCGAAGCCGGUGGCCUAACCCCUUGUGGGAGGGAGCCGUCGAAGGUGGGACUGGCGAUUGGGACUAAGUCGUAACAAGGUAGCCGUACCGGAAGGUGCGGCUGGAUCACCUCCUUUCUAAGGAG
RNAcentral lists this ribosomal RNA (1535 nucleotides) under Kocuria rosea subsp. polaris. RNAcentral's name for it is "bacterial SSU rRNA". It matches the Rfam family "Bacterial small subunit ribosomal RNA". Lineage: Bacteria; Bacillati; Actinomycetota; Actinomycetes; Micrococcales; Micrococcaceae. The record is from RNAcentral.